GAUGAACGCUGCGGCGUGCCUAAUACAUGCAAGUCGAGCGAACGGACGAGAAGCUUUCUUCUCUUAUGUUAGCGGCGGACGGGUGAGUAACACGUGGAUAACCUACCUAUAAUUCUGGGAUAACUUCGGGAAACCGUUGCUAAUACCGGAUAAUAUUUUGAACCGCAUGGUUCAAAAGUUUAAUACGUUCUUUCUGUCACUUAUAGAUGGAUCCGCUCUGCAUUAGCUAGUUGGGAAGGUAACGGCUUACAAAGGCAACGAUGCAUAGCCGACCUGAGAGGGAGAUCGGCCACACAGGAACUGAGACACGGUCCAGACACCUACGGGAGGCAGCAGUAGGGAAUCUAACGCAAUGGGCGAAAGCAUGACGGAGCAACGCCGCGUGAGUGAUGAAGGUCUUGGGAUCGUAAAACUCUGUUAUUAGGGAAGAACAUAUGUGUAAGUAACUGUGCACAUCAUGACGGUACCUAAUAAGAAAGCAACGGCUAACUACGUG
Molecule: ribosomal RNA, 496 nt
Filed under: uncultured bacterium
Lineage: Bacteria
Description: partial 16S ribosomal RNA
Rfam family: Bacterial small subunit ribosomal RNA
Source: RNAcentral